UAAUCCAUCAAACACAGUUUUGGCUUCAUGGAGUCAUACAGGUUCAAUGAUCAACCGAAAGCGUUCCAAUCGCAAGGUUUUGUAAUAUAUAUAUAAUGUCUAUGGAGCAGGCUAGAAAUGUAACAAUUACAAUUCAAAAAUACCGAAAAUUUUUUAGUUUAUUUUCGUUGUCAGUCGUCCCCUGGCGAUCUGAAGUGAACCGUUUAAAAUCGGUUUUAUAGGCCAGAAAACGACGACGAUGAUGACGACGACUCAUUCCAGCCGAUCACCGGCGAAGAUAUCAACAUCCGCACAUCCCUCGCAGGUUUUUUCUCGGAGCACACUUGCCGGAGUUCCUGAAUCACUGGGCACAACGAAGGAACGAAGAAUAAGGGGAGGUGGCUACCUACCUGGGCAUUGUUACUCUGCGAUUCUCUCUACCUGUGUCAAUGUCAGACAUCAGACUUCAGACUACAGACUUCAGCGCUAAAUUGUCGCUUAUUAAAUGUCUCUCGUCCCGCCGACGAGCCACUUUA
Drosophila yakuba is the source of this 515-nucleotide long non-coding RNA. RefSeq lists it as uncharacterized. Lineage: Eukaryota; Metazoa; Arthropoda; Insecta; Diptera; Drosophilidae. The transcript is spliced from 2 exons. The record is from RefSeq and is a predicted model, not a curated record.